GAGGGCGGGCUGUACCAUCCGCGGGAGGAGCUUCGGGUCCUCUUCGCGCGCCCGGGCGCCGCGGGGCCCGGCCAUCUCCGGGCUGCCCUCGGAGGCCGGGCUGCGCGGGCGUUUGGCGCCCAGCCCCCUACUCUGCGCGGCGCCCUCUUUGUGUACAGGCCCGCGGCAGCCCCCCGCUUUCUUCCCCGCGGAUGCGCACGUGCGUCCCGAGCACGGCGGCUGCGCCCAGAGACCCGCCUGACCCCGGGCGCCCUUAGCCCUGGUCCGGGCUCCAGCCACCGCAGCACGCUCGCCUCUGGUCUCGCGCUCUGCCCUCAGGCACCUGUCCCCCGGUGAUUCACGCAAGGCCCCGUCUGCAGGUGAAGUGGCCUCCCUUAGAGCGACCCGAAAAGUGUGGUCCGUAUUUCAAGGUGGACUUUAAAAGGCGGUGUUGCCUUGCGCCCGCGGGCCCUGCCGGUGGCCGUGCGCUCCAAGACGUUAAGGGAAGGGCAGGCCUUCCCUAGUGCAGAGGCACGGGGCUUGGCCCACUGUCCAUUUUUGCAGAAACCUUCCUCCUGUGUGGGAUCGCUGUCUGGAGAAGGGCUCCCGCGCUGCUCCGGGAAGAAGCAGACCCAGGACGGGAACACGUGGCUGGAAGGUCCCUGGGGGCCAUCUCCAGAAAAGAGGAAGAGCUGCAAGUGCCGUCAGUGAUCCCCUCCAGGCACCCAGAGCCUUAACUGAAAUACCGGAUCGUUCCCUAGAUUUUUGCUACAUUAAACUAUAUUGUCCAGUUAAAAAAAAAAAAGAGUACGAAACACCGUCGUAGAGGACAACGAUUCCUGGCUCUCCCCUGACUGCACAGCCUUUGGACAGCUUUGCCAGUGAAAGAGCUUUGUUCCAACCACCUGCCCCAGUGCAGCUGUGUCGAUGGCACAAAGCUUCGUUCCGCAGCUCCUAUUUCACAGCGGUCCCCUCUCCCUGGUCUCGUUGCGGGUCACACCAUGAUGGCUGCC
Eubalaena glacialis (North Atlantic right whale) is the source of this 992-nucleotide long non-coding RNA. RefSeq lists it as uncharacterized. The record is from RefSeq and is a predicted model, not a curated record. The transcript is spliced from 3 exons. Lineage: Eukaryota; Metazoa; Chordata; Mammalia; Artiodactyla; Balaenidae.